RNAcentral lists this long non-coding RNA (420 nucleotides) under Dermacentor andersoni. RNAcentral describes it as "uncharacterized LOC126533156". Lineage: Eukaryota; Metazoa; Arthropoda; Arachnida; Ixodida; Ixodidae. The record is from RNAcentral.
UCUGGCUGGGGCAUCUCCUGGUGGAUCAACCGCGAGCUAAUUCCCGUGCUCCACGUUGAACGCGGCAAGACGUACAAGUUUAUCGUGGAAGGCGGGGACGACAACACCACGUCGACCAACUACCACCCCUUCUACAUUACCGACAGCACCAAGGGCGGCGGCUCCAAGGAGAUUGCAUCCCUCGGCAAGCCGGGACAUCUCCUGUUCGCUGGCGUAUCCCUUGACGCUCAGGGUAAUCCCGUCGUCUCCAAGGGCGUGGCCACGGGUCGCCUCUGCGAGUGGAAAGAAGACCCGAAUGGCGCGAGCGACAAGGCCACCACGUGGGAGGAAUACAACAAGACGCUGAAGCUGGAGUGUAAGCCAGGUCAGCCGGGACAAUUCAGCUGGACCCCGGACUCAAACACGCCGAACGUCGUAUAC